CAUUGAAACAUCGGUCCUCUUAAGAUCACUGAAGUUAAGCAACUUCGAGCUUGAUCAGUACCUAGAUGGGCGACUGUUUGGGUAUAGCGGGUACUGUAA
Acanthosepion pharaonis is the source of this 99-nucleotide non-coding RNA. The record is from the annotation of a GenBank genome assembly. Lineage: Eukaryota; Metazoa; Mollusca; Cephalopoda; Sepiida; Sepiidae.